UCCGAAGGGGGCGAGCGUUGUUCGGAUUUACUGGGCGUAAAGGGCGCGCAGGCGGCCGCUCAAGUCAGGCGUGAAAGCCCCGGGCUUAACCUGGGAACUGCGUCUGGGACUGAGUGGCUAGAGUUCGGGAGAGGAGAGUGGAAUUCCCAGUGUAGAGGUGAAAUGCGUAGAUAUGAGGAGGAACACCGGUGGCGAAGGCGGCUUUCUGGACAGUAACUGACGCUGAGGCGCGAAAGCUAGGGGAGCAAACAGG
Molecule: ribosomal RNA, 253 nt
Filed under: uncultured bacterium
Lineage: Bacteria
Description: partial 16S ribosomal RNA
Rfam family: Bacterial small subunit ribosomal RNA
Source: RNAcentral